AUACGGAGGGUGCAAGCGUUGUUCGGAAUUACUGGGCGUAAAGAGCGUGUAGGCGGUUUGGAAAGUCAGGCGUGAAAGCCCUGGGCUCAACCCAGGAAGUGCGUUUGAAACUACCAUCCUAGAGUAUGGGAGAGGAGAGUGGAAUUCCCAGUGUAGAGGUGAAAUUCGUAGAUAUUGGGAGGAACACCCGUGGCGAAGGCGACUCUCUGGACCAAUACUGACGCUGAGACGCGAAAGCGUGGGGAGCAAACAGGAUUAGAUACCCUGGUAGGCCACGCCGUAAACGAUGGGUACUAGGUGUUGCGGGUAUUGACCCCUGCAGUGCCGAAGCUAACGCAUUAAGUACCCCGCCUGGGGAGUACGGCCGCAAGGCUAAA
RNAcentral lists this ribosomal RNA (377 nucleotides) under uncultured bacterium. Its description in RNAcentral is "bacterial SSU rRNA". It matches the Rfam family "Bacterial small subunit ribosomal RNA", at positions 523 to 898 of the family's 1533-position model. The record is from RNAcentral.